Molecule: long non-coding RNA, 772 nt
Organism: Cyprinus carpio carpio
Lineage: Eukaryota; Metazoa; Chordata; Actinopteri; Cypriniformes; Cyprinidae
Source: Ensembl
GGGAGGGGUCACCGCGCCGACUAGUCCCUAGUAUUCGAAUAAUUCAUUCAUACAUAGACUGUGGCUGUUUGUUACCACUUUGGCUUACCGGAGCGGCAGUUCCUCCAGACUUCUUGUGGUGGCGCUUCCCAGAGGCAGAUGGUCAGAUUAUCGGAAAAUGAGACAGCACUAAGUUUACCUCUUGGAGAGCAGCGGGCAAACAACAAACGAUAAAGGACAUUCCUACUUGGUCUUGAACUGUGACAUUUUAGUGAAGGGAGUAGAUCGUAGCUGAUAGUGAUCCGUGACUAGGCCCACGGUUCAGCACGCAUGUGUUCAGUGAACACACACAGAAGAAUUGGAGAAACUGAGGAGGAGUUUCAACAUCUGGAGAAGCAGUUGGAAAUUGAGAAGAUCCGGGCAGCAAAGUUUUGCAUUUGGCUAGGGUCAGUGUCACUACUGGUAGCAUGAGGCGAUACCUGGACCUUACAAAGGUUGCACAGGCAGUCCAACUCCUCCAGGAUGGCGCAUCAAUAUGUGCCAUUGCCAGAAGGUUUGCUGUGUCUCCCAGCACAGUCUCAAGAGCAUGUAGGAGAUUCCAGGAGACAGGCAGUUACUCUAGGAGAGCUGGACAGGGCAGUAGAAGGUCCUUAACCCAUCAGCAGGACCUGAAUCUGCUCCUUUGUGUGCAAGGAGGAACAGGAUCAGCACUGCCAGAGCCCUACAAAAUGACCUUCAGCAGGCCACUGGUGUGAAUGCCUCUGAGAAAACAAUCAGAAACAGACUUCAUGAG